This is a ribosomal RNA of 1060 nucleotides. The stretch from base 158 to 1060 matches the Rfam family "Bacterial large subunit ribosomal RNA", at positions 568 to 2034 of the family's 2925-position model.
CCAAAUGAUAUAAAUAAAAUAGAAUAGACCAAAUACCAAAAACUAAACCAUUCUUUUACCUGAGUAUGGGAGACAGAAAAGGUUCAACCAAAGCAAUAGAAAUAGUACCGCAAGGGAAAGCUGAAAGAGAAAUGAAAUAACCCAUAUAAGUAUUAAAAAGCAAAGACUAGACCUUGUACCUUUUGCAUCAUGAUUUAGCUAGUAAACACAAGCAAAGAGACCUUUAGUUUGAAACCCCGAAACCAGGUGAGCUACCCCGAGACAGCCUAUUAAGGGCCAACCCGUCUCUGUGGCAAAAGAGUGGGAAGAGCUCCGGGUAGAAGUGACAGACCUACCGAACCUGGUGAUAGCUGGUUGCCUAAGAAAUGAAUAGAAGUUCAGCCUCGUGCGCCUCAGAUCAAACAAGCACUAAUCAAGACACUAAGAGAAAGGCACGAGAGUUAGUUAAAGGGGGUACAGCCCCUUUAACAAAGGAUACAACCUUAUUCAGGAGGAUAAAGAUCAUAAUAUAUAAAACAUACUGUUCUAGUGGGCCUAAAAGCAGCCACCUAAGCAGAAAGCGUUAAAGCUCAGACAGAAGAAAGUUUAUUAUUCUGAUAAAAAAUCUUACUCCCCUAAAUACUAUUAGGCCAAUCCAUGCACCCAUGGAAGUAAUUAUGCUAAAAUGAGUAACAAGAAGGCCCGCCCUUCUCCGAGCACAAGUGUAAGCCAAACCGGACCGACCAUUGGCAACUAACGAACUCAACCCAAGAGAGCAAUGUGAACCAUAAAGAAAACAAGAAAAACCCACAACUCAACAAUCGUUAACCCCACACUGGAGUGCUAUCAAAGGAAAGACUAAAAGAAAAGGAAGGAACUCGGCAAACACAAGCCUCGCCUGUUUACCAAAAACAUCGCCUCCUGCAACGCAGCCAUGUAUAGGAGGUCCAGCCUGCCCAGUGACUACAAGUUCAACGGCCGCGGUAUUUUGACCGUGCAAAGGUAGCGCAAUCACUUGUCUUUUAAAUAGAGACCUGUAUGAAUGGCUAAACGAGGGCUUAACUGUCUCCCUUUUCAAGUC